This is a long non-coding RNA of Equus quagga, 2048 nucleotides long. RefSeq lists it as uncharacterized. The record is from RefSeq and is a predicted model, not a curated record. The transcript has 4 exons. NCBI's taxonomy places the organism in Eukaryota, Metazoa, Chordata, Mammalia, Perissodactyla, Equidae.
AGCUCAGGCUCCCGACUUCAUUAAAGAUCUGAAAGUCCCUGUGCUGUGAGGUGGUAAUGGGUGUGACCAUUAAAGCCACAUGAUCUGUGUUCAAGUCCUGGCUUCACCACUUAUUAACUGUGUGAUCCUGGCAGCACGUCGUGUGAUGUCACCAAAUGGAGGCACGGUCAACUAGUCACUCUGAGGAUGGAGUGUCCUCCGGUGAGAAGCCUGGCCCCCCAUGGGGAGGGUCAUCUUCCAGAGAGAAUGCCUACUUCACCUCAUCUUUCAGGGGCCCUCUUCCUGACCGAAAGGCCGAAGGGAAUCCUGUGAGCAUGCAGCUUCUGACCCAGGAAUGAGGACGGGGGACGAGCCGGCGUGGAAGAGGCCAGAGCCACCGCCAUCUUGGGCCAAGUGUCUUGCAAAGGAGGCGGGGGUGUCAUCUGCUCUCGCCGAGGGAAGGGAAAUGAAAGGGUGAUGUGGAGGGACUGUGAGGCGGAAGAGGAGAUGUGAGGAGUCCCUGUGAAGAGGCCUGGACCUUCUCCGUCAGGAGGAAGAGAGAGACACAGGGAGACCACCCCGUAAAGAUGGAGGCCGAGACUGGCAUGAUGAUGAAUCUAAAGGCCAAGGAUUGCAGGCAGCCACCAGGAGCUGGGAGAGGGGUCCGGAACAGCUUCUGCCUCAGAGCCUGCAGAAGGCACCAGCCCUACCCAUGCCUUGCUUUUGGACCUCUAUCCUCUGGAACAGUGAGGGAAUACUUUGUUGUUGUUUUAAGCGAAGCUUGGCCAAGCUUGUGGUACCUUGUUAGAGCAGCCCCAGGGAACUGAUACAGAGGCUGAUGUUAGGAAAUUCUUGCUGUAGAUGCUCCUCCAGAGACACUUGAGAGAGGAACUGAGGCCCCUGCCCUCAGCCACACGGAGCGGGGCCCGUGUCUGAGGAGCUGCAGUGUGGCUGGCUUUGUGCCUAGGAUUCCGUGAGGCUGGAAGGUAACAACCCCAGGGUGGGCUCAUUCUACUGAAAAGCUGAGGGGGCAGAGUAAAAUGGGACCUGUCCAAAGUGUCAAUCUGAAGGUAAGACAAGGACAAAGGAGUCAGUUGAUUCAUUCAUUCAUUCACUCACUCACCUCUUACUUAGGGAGCCCUACUAUGUGCCUGGCCCUGGGAACACAAAGUCCAGAGACAAGAACCAGCCUGCCCUGCCCUCAGGAAGCUUGAGCCUGAGGGGUUCAUGCUCAUCAACCAGGAGGUUGGGUCCAUGAGCAUUAAGAUUUCUUCCAGCUCUGACAUUUGGUGACUAAAAGGGAGAAAAAGGGUGAUCUGGCUGGGGGCCAUCACGCUGCCACCAGGGCAUUUUUGGGGGCCACUGCUGUCUCUCUGCCUGGACAAGGCCAAGGAGGGGCUAUAGGGGAUGCGAGCCCAUGAGGACGUGGAGCUGGACCCCUAAUUUCCUCUACAGGCACAGGUGGUGAUGUACACUGUCGGGGACAAAUGCUGGCCCUGCCUGACCAGUGCAGCCACUGGCGGGACACUAUCUGCGGCGAGACGGGCCUCAGCGGCCACCACUAAUUGUACAAAACUGAAACAUCUCAAGAAUAUUUUCAGCCCAUUUGCACUUAUCAAAUAGCACACUGGAAACCCCAGCAAUUUGUGUAGGAUCCUUUCCAGAAUGAGGGAGAUUUCACAAACUUGGCCUCAUGCAGGGUGAGCUGCUUGGGAUUUCAGCCUCAGAGUGGGCCUGGCCUCCUUGUUCCCAUUUGCCCCACCUUCUCCCAGGGCUCCAGCCACUCCCCAGCACACCUGGCCGCACCAUGCAAGGCAACUCUGAGACAGACACCCCAGCCACAAGAUGUCUGUGUUCCUUUGGCUCUUUGGCUUCUCCUUCUUGGCAUUUUUGGCAGUUCCACGGUGCUCAGCAGCUGGGCAUCUGGCCGACUAAGAAAUGCAAAGUUCGGGGCCUGAAGCCGCUGCUGCCUUGGCUGUGGUUUGUCUGAAGCUCCAUUUCAUUUGGGCUAGAGGUGAACGCUUCCCUCCGGAGACCCCUGCAGGCGGGGUCUGAAGCGAAGGUCAAGG